Molecule: ribosomal RNA, 492 nt
Filed under: uncultured bacterium
Lineage: Bacteria
Description: partial 16S ribosomal RNA
Rfam family: Bacterial small subunit ribosomal RNA
Source: RNAcentral
AGUGAACGCUGGCGGUAGGCCUAACACAUGCAAGUCGAACGGCAGCACAGUAAGAGCUUGCUCUUACGGGUGGCGAGUGGCGGACGGGUGAGGAAUACAUCGGAAUCUACUUUUUCGUGGGGGAUAACGUAGGGAAACUUACGCUAAUACCGCAUACGACCUACGGGUGAAAGCAGUGGAUCUUCGCACCUUGCGCGAUUGAAUGAGCCGAUGUGGGAUUAGCUAGUUGGCCGGGUAAAGCCCAACCAAGGCGACGAUCCGUAGCUGGUCUGAGAGGAGGAUCAGCCACACUGGAACUGAGACACGGUCCAGACUCCUACGGGAGGCAGCAGUGGGGAAUAUUGGACAAUGGGCGCAAGCCUGAUCCAGCCAUACCGAGUGGGUGAAGAAGGCCUUCGGGUUGUAAAGCCCUUUUGUUGGGAAAGAAAAGCAGCAGGUUAAUACCCCGCUGUUCUGACGGUACCCAAAGAAUAAGCACCGGCUAACUUCGUG